This is a non-coding RNA of Tachyglossus aculeatus (Australian echidna), 429 nucleotides long. The record is from the annotation of a RefSeq genome assembly. NCBI's taxonomy places the organism in Eukaryota, Metazoa, Chordata, Mammalia, Monotremata, Tachyglossidae.
AUGUUGGGAUCUGUUACCCUCUUUCUUUCUUCCUUGCUCCCUGUGGCCCAGACAGCCCUCACCCUGGACCAGCCCCUGGUCUCCAUCACCAAAAAGAUGGGGAGUGCUGCUACAUUUCUCUGCAAGUUGUCUGACACAAAGAUCAAGUACAUCCACUGGUAUCGCCAGCAGCUUGGGAAGGCUCCCCAGCACCUGUUCUACUAUAACUUGGCCACGUCUCAAGCCACACUGGAUGCAGGACUCAGCUCAGAAAAAAUUACCACUUUCAAGACCAGAGACCAAGGCUGCAGCUUGGUGGUAUGGAAACUGGUUAUGAGUGAUGCUGGCACCUAUUACUGUGCCACCUGGGACUCCGCAGUGAAACAGGAUACUCCGUUCCUCAUACAAAAAGGAGAAAGGCCUGUCCGCCCCCCGCAGCUCUGGCACUGA